This 65-nucleotide transfer RNA is filed under the name Histeroidea sp. 4 KM-2017. RNAcentral's name for it is "tRNA-Asp". It matches the Rfam family "tRNA". From Rfam's summary of the family: Transfer RNA (tRNA) molecules are approximately 80 nucleotides in length. The record is from RNAcentral. Lineage: Eukaryota; Metazoa; Arthropoda; Insecta; Coleoptera.
AAAAAUUUAGUUAAAACUAUAACAUUAGCUUGUCAAGCUAAAAUUAUUGCUAUCAAUAAUUUUUA